GAAUCUAUUUUAUUUUUCUCCACGUUGGUCAAGUAUCGUGCUCGCAUAAGAGGGAAUAAAGUCAAAUCUGAUUGAUUCAAUUGAUCGUAAACGAGGCGUAAUCCACGUUAAUCACCGAAAGGGUGCAACGAAACAAUAAACGUUGAACAAUCGUCAAUAAAGUAGAUUCUAGAUUCGAAACGGGUGAGGAAUAUUUCACGGUGUGACGCGCGUCUUCAGCAAGUGAACAUAUACUGUUCCCUCCAUCCAGUAUCUAGGUUAAAUGGCUGGCCGUGAAAGGAGAAUGAUUAUUAGCGGUGAAUUUUCUCAACAGUACAUCGAUCGAAGAUCAUUACCGGCGUGUAACGCGAAUCUUUUGCAAUUAUUUCGUGACAGCAAGGACAAUUUCACCUGGUUUCCUUUGCAACAAGGAAUCUCGAAAGCUCCAUCUCGUUAUUUACGUGUUAGGAAUCGCGGUUAAUCUCGUGAAAUCUUCGAUACUUGAAAUGUUAUAUACGAUGUUAAUUCGAAUUCGAGAGAGAAUCAAAGGAAACUGUCUCUAAUCCCAGAAAGAAAAGGCCACUUUCGGCGGAGAGGGGGAGGAGGAGGAGGAGGAAGCAAAAGCCGAUGGAUCGACCCAGAAUUCGUCCCAGAGAUCGCGCGCAAUUUCUCAACUCGUCGUAGCUUUCCACGAACCGUCCGAUCCAUCCUGUAAAAACUCGUGACACGUGUAGGAUAGCUUAACGACUGUCCGCAAGAAAACCGCCGCUACGCAAUUACGACGGCGCAAAAAUGGCCGAGGUAAUCCUUUUCCCGGAUCCGUAGAGACCUUUAAACUAUAUAUCGCGGAAAUCGCUUCGUUCUGAUUUGUCCACUGAGCAAAAAGAUCACGUGAUUACGCGUGUUCUUCGCGCGAUGAAGCAUGAACAAUCGAGCGAGGAACGUUGAUGACACGUUGGUGAGAAUC
This is a long non-coding RNA of Apis dorsata (giant honeybee), 946 nucleotides long. RefSeq lists it as uncharacterized. Lineage: Eukaryota; Metazoa; Arthropoda; Insecta; Hymenoptera; Apidae. The record is from RefSeq and is a predicted model, not a curated record. The transcript is spliced from 3 exons.